GAUAAACGCUGGCGGCGUGCAUGAGACAUGCAAGUCGAACGAGUGACUCGGGCUUGCCUGAGUCGCUAGUGGCGAACGGCUGAGUAACGCGUAGGUGACCUACCCCGAAGUGGGGAAUAACUGCCCGAAAGGGUGGCUAAUACCGCAUGUGGUGAGCGUUCAUUCGCCUCAUCAAAGCCGCAAGGCGCUUCGGGAGGGGCCUGCGUCCGAUUAGCUCGUUGGUGGGGUAACGGCUCACCAAGGCGACGAUCGGUAGGUGGUCUGAGAGGACGAUCACCCAGACUGGGACUGAGACACGGCCCAGACUCCUACGGGAGGCAGCAGUCGGGAAUUUUGCGCAAUGGACGAAAGUCUGACGCAGCAACGCCGCGUGAGGGAUGAAGGCCUUCGGGUUGUAAACCUCUUUUCUCAGGGACGAUGAUGACGGUACCUGAGGAAUAAGUCACGGCUAACUACGUGCCAGCCGCCGCGGUAAC
RNAcentral lists this ribosomal RNA (476 nucleotides) under uncultured bacterium. RNAcentral describes it as "bacterial SSU rRNA". It matches the Rfam family "Bacterial small subunit ribosomal RNA", at positions 28 to 524 of the family's 1533-position model. The record is from RNAcentral.